GGUCCUACGGGAGGCAGCAGUGGGGAAUAUUACGCAAUGGGCGAAAGCCUGACGCAGCGACGCCGCGUGAGGGAUGAAGGUCUUCGGAUCGUAAACCUCUGUCAGCAGGGAAGAACGGUCACUGUGCUAAUCAGCAGUGAAUUGACGGUACCUGCAAAGGAAGCACCGGCUAACUCCGUGCCAGCAGCCGCGGUAAUACGGAGGAUCCGAGCGUUAUCCGGAUUUAUUGGGUUUAAAGGGUGCGCAGGCGGUCUGUUAAGUCAGCGGUCAAAGCCCGGGGCUCAACCCCGGCCCGCCGUUGAAAC
RNAcentral lists this ribosomal RNA (305 nucleotides) under uncultured bacterium. RNAcentral's name for it is "bacterial SSU rRNA". It matches the Rfam family "Bacterial small subunit ribosomal RNA", at positions 335 to 633 of the family's 1533-position model. The record is from RNAcentral.